Molecule: long non-coding RNA, 1318 nt
Organism: Salvelinus fontinalis (brook trout)
Lineage: Eukaryota; Metazoa; Chordata; Actinopteri; Salmoniformes; Salmonidae
Exons: 2
Source: RefSeq, a predicted model, not a curated record
GAUGGGCUGGUUUAAAGAGUCAGUAGAAGAUUCAAGGGAAAUUUCACCACUGCUCUAUUUCACUAUAUAUGCCCAUUGAUAUGUUUUUAAAAUAUUAGAUGUGCCAUAAAAAUUUUGAAUUUCCUCACUACACAAAAAUAGGAGCAUUUCUGCAUCUCACCGGUAGAAACGGUCCAGCUACAUUUCCUGGUUGUAAGCCAACCACAAUAUCCAGAAUUCCUAGCGAUUUCAGGACGUGGGGGACCGCCCCGUGGAGGAGUAGGGUAUCCAAUUAAUGGGUGAAAAAUCUAAAUGUCUGGUUUUGUAGCCAGCACUUUCAGCCAGAGGUUUUUUAAGCGGAACUAAAGUCUCAACUGAUGGGGUUGCCAUGUCGUCAAAAAUUGAAAAGUGAUGCUAUUCCAGUGAAUUUCCCCUUCACUUCAAAGAGGGGGGCAUCUGAUCAGCCAACAUCAGUGCAGCAGAAAAGAAGGCAAGCUGAGGUAACGUAGGUAACCUUAUCUAGCUAACUAGUUAACUACCAUCGAACUACAUUUGUUUAUCUAAACCAAAAUCUAGCUAGGUAGCUUUUAUAAGCGCUGGCUAGACAUUCCAAAGCAUAAUGAUGUAACUAGCCAGCUGCUAUCUGGCGAUGUUAUUUGAAACUUUGCAAGCUAACAUUAGCUUCGUUAGGUUACGUUAGCUGGCUAGCUAGCUAACUACCGCAGAGGCUAACGUGACUAGCAUUAUGGGUUUUAUUUAGAGUCCGAUCUCAUCAACAUCUGCAGCGGCAUCGACAUCAAGCUCAGUGGGGUUGGGAUAUGCAAACAAGACAAAAAUAAGCCCCCCUUACUAUUAUUAUUAUUAUUGACAUUACGGGGGCGGGGGGGGCUGUGGACCCGUUGGAUUAAAGCUUUCAGUCUGGAAUAAGCUCAAGUUCAACAUCAUCUGACUUUGAAACAAGCCAGGACAGCCAAAGGGGACUUAGAGUACAUACAAAGCUUCUGCAAGAGGUCGAAGCAGUGGGUGGUGAAGAACAUUGCCACCGCGCCAAAGCCUGCUAAACCAAAUGUCAUUACCCAACACAAGAAGAGGUUCACCAGCUGAAGAACAUUCAGGACCCUGACUGGAACAUUCAGGCAACACAACGUACAUAUUCAGUGAGACUGAUGUUGUAGUAUAACACAGAAUGCCCAGUAUGCUCACAACUGCAUUGUGGUAUAGAUAUUUCUAGCUCUUGUACAUAUGUAUAUAAUGGUGUUAUAUAAUAUUUUUGAAUGUAUUAGAUUCAGUGAGUAAACAAUUCCAGGUGCAUCAGAAACCAAUAAAGUGUUGACUUCAA